UACAGAGGUGGCGAGCGUUGUUCGGAAUCAUUGGGCUUAAAGCGUGUGUAGGCGGACCAGAAAGUGUCUUGUGAAAUCCCUCGUCUUAACCGAGGAAUGGCUCGGCAAACUACUGGUCUUGAGUCAAGUAGGGGUGCCUGGAACUCUUGGUGGAGCGGUGAAAUGCGUAGAUAUCAAGAGGAACGCCCGUGGUGAAAACGGGGCACUGGGCUUGAACUGACGCUGAGACACGAAAGCGUGGGGAGUGAACGGGAUUAGAUACCCCCGUA
RNAcentral lists this ribosomal RNA (269 nucleotides) under uncultured prokaryote. RNAcentral describes it as "partial 16S ribosomal RNA". It matches the Rfam family "Bacterial small subunit ribosomal RNA", at positions 524 to 792 of the family's 1533-position model. The record is from RNAcentral.